This 770-nucleotide ribosomal RNA is filed under the name uncultured bacterium. RNAcentral's name for it is "bacterial SSU rRNA". It matches the Rfam family "Bacterial small subunit ribosomal RNA", at positions 617 to 1387 of the family's 1533-position model. The record is from RNAcentral.
ANGUAUGCUUUGGAAACUGUUAGACUUGAGUGCAGAAGGGGAGAGUGGAAUUCCAUGUGUAGCGGUGAAAUGCGUAGAUAUAUGGAGGAACACCGGUGGCGAAAGCGGCUCUCUGGUCUGUCACUGACGCUGAGGCUCGAAAGCGUGGGUAGCGAACAGGAUUAGAUACCCUGGUAGUNCACGCCGUAAACGCUGAGUGCUAGGUGUUAGGUCCUUUCCGGGACUUAGUGCCGACGCUAACGCAUUAAGCACUCCGCCUGGGGAGUACGACCGCAAGGUUGAAACUCAAAGGAAUUGACGGGGGCCCGCACAAGCGGUGGAGCAUGUGGUUUAAUUCGAAGCAACGCGAAGAACCUUACCAGGUCUUGACAUCCCGAUGCCCGCUCUAGAGAUAGAGUUUUUCUUCGGAACAUCGGAGACAGGUGGUGCAUGGUUGUCGUCAGCUCGUGUCGUGAGAUGUUGGGUUAAGUCCCGCAACGAGCGCAACCCUUAUUGUUAGUUGCCAUCAUUAAGUUGGGCACUCUAGCGAGACUGCCGGUAAUAAACCGGAGGAAGGUGGGGAUGACGUCAAAUCAUCAUGCCCCUUAUGACCUGGGCUACACACGUGCUACAAUGGUUGGUACAACGAGUCGCAAGCCGGUGACGGCAAGCUAAUCUCUGAAAGCCAAUCUCAGUUCGGAUUGUAGGCUGCAACUCGCCUACAUGAAGUCGGAAUCGCUAGUAAUCGCGGAUCAGCACGCCGCGGUGAAUACGUUCCCGGGCCUUGUACA